RNAcentral lists this ribosomal RNA (492 nucleotides) under uncultured bacterium. RNAcentral's name for it is "partial 16S ribosomal RNA". It matches the Rfam family "Bacterial small subunit ribosomal RNA", at positions 29 to 507 of the family's 1533-position model. The record is from RNAcentral.
AGUGAACGCUGGCGGUAGGCCUAACACAUGCAAGUCGAACGGCAGCACAGUAAGAUCUUGCUCUUACGGGUGGCGAGUGGCGGACGGGUGACGAAUACAUCGGAAUCUACUUUUUCGGGGGGGAUAACGUAGGGACACUUACGCUAAUACCGCAUACGACCUACGGGUGAAAGCAGUGGAUCUUCGGACCUUGCGCAAUUGAAUGAGCCGAUGUCGGAUUAGCUAGUUGGCGGGGUAAAGGCCCACCAAGGCGACGAUGCGUAGCUGGCCUGAGAGGAUGAUCAGCCACACUGGAACUGAGACACGGUCCAGACUCCUACGGGAGGCAGCAGUGGGGAAUAUUGGACAAUGGGCGAAAGCCUGAUGCAGCCACACCGCGUGAGUGAAGAAGGCCUUCGGAUUGUAAAGCCCUUUUGUUGGGAAAGAAAAGCAGCAGGUGAAUACCCGGCUGUUCUGACGGUACCUAAAGAAUAAGCACCGGCUAACUUCGUG